RNAcentral lists this ribosomal RNA (392 nucleotides) under Aplanochytrium sp. RNAcentral describes it as "partial small subunit ribosomal RNA". It matches the Rfam family "Eukaryotic small subunit ribosomal RNA", at positions 582 to 975 of the family's 1831-position model. The record is from RNAcentral. Lineage: Eukaryota; Bigyra; Thraustochytrida; Thraustochytriidae.
AUUCCAGCUCCAAUAGCGUAUAUUAAAGUUGUUGCAGUUAAAAAGCUCGUAGUUGGAUUUCUGGUAGGAGCGAUCGUGCCGAACUUGAUUGUUCGUGUAUUGUGUUGUCUUCAGCCAUCCUCGUGGAGAACUUUUCUAACGUUAACUUGUUGGGAUUGGGACCCGCGUCGUUUACUGUGAAAAAAUUAGAGUGUUUAAAGCAGGCAUUAGCUUGAAUACAUUAGCAUGGAAUAAUAAGAUAGGACCUUGGUACUAUUUUGUUGGUCUGCAUACCAAAUUAAUGAUCAACAGGAACAGUUUGAGGAUAUUCGUAUGAACAUGUCAGAGGUGAAAUUCUUGGAUUUUGAUCAGACGAACUACUGCGAAAGCAUUUAUCAAGGAUGUUUUCAUCG